UAGAGCAGAUAUCACCUUAUCCGGGAUCCUCAUAUGGAUAACUGCGGAAAUACUGGAGCUAAUACAUGCAACUAUACCCCAACGCAAGGCGGGGUGCAAUUAUUAGAACAGACCAAACGUUUUCGGACGUUGUUUGUUGACUCUGAAUAAAGCAGUUUACUGUCAGUUUCGACUGACUCUAUCCGGAAAGGGUGUCUGCCCUUUCAACUAGAUGGUAGUUUAUUGGACUACCAUGGUUGUUACGGGUAACGGAGAAUAAGGGUUCGACUCCGGAGAGGGAGCCUUAGAAACGGCUACCACGUCCAAGGAAGGCAGCAGGCGCGAAACUUAUCCACUGUUGAGUAUGAGAUAGUGACUAAAAAUAUAAAGACUCAUCCUUUUGGAUGAGUUAUUUCAAUGAGUUGAAUACAAAUGAUUCUUCGAGUAGCAAGGAGAGGGCAAGUCUGGUGCCAGCAGCCGCGGUAAUUCCAGCUCUCCUAGUGUAUCUCGUUAUUGCUGCGGUUAAAAAGCUCGUAGUUGGAUCUAGGUUACGUGCCGCAGUUCGCAAUUUGCGUCAACUGUGGUCGUGACUUCUAAUUUGCUGGUUUGAGGUUGGGUUCGCCCUUCAACUGCCAGCAGGUUUACCUUGA
Molecule: ribosomal RNA, 629 nt
Filed under: Caenorhabditis elegans
Lineage: Eukaryota; Metazoa; Nematoda; Chromadorea; Rhabditida; Rhabditidae
Description: SSU rRNA
Rfam family: Eukaryotic small subunit ribosomal RNA
Source: RNAcentral